UGCAUCUGUAAUUUGUCUUCUGGAAUUUGUCACUUGCGCCCCGGUAUUUGGUUUUCCAGAUAUGGACGUUACAGAAAAAGAAUGCGGUCCGAACCUUAAUUACUUCUCGAUACAGAAAUGUGAGGGCUAAAUCCCAAAAAUAACUGGCAAUGUGGCUAUUCCUACGAUCCUGAUAAUUGAAUAAAUACUUCGUAAA
Long non-coding RNA from Papilio xuthus (Asian swallowtail), 196 nucleotides. RefSeq lists it as uncharacterized. The record is from RefSeq and is a predicted model, not a curated record. NCBI's taxonomy places the organism in Eukaryota, Metazoa, Arthropoda, Insecta, Lepidoptera, Papilionidae. The transcript has 7 exons.